GCGGCGGCGGCAUCUCUCCGGGUGCCAAGCUCCGGUCCCCUCCCUGCCGUGGUGGCUCAGAACGGGCCUCGGGACAGCGGCCUGGCCUGAGUCCAUCUGGGACAGGGACCUGCGCAGGCGAGAGCCCUCCAACCGCUCCAGUGUCAGUCCCCGGUAACGCGAUGGGUAGAUGUGAUCCAGGCCCAUUAACCAGUGCGCAGAGAAACCGAGGACCAUGAGCUGAGCCUUCCGCGGGCACAGGAGUGUGACUUCAUGCUGUGUGCUGCAGCGGGCACCGUGCUGGGAAGGCACACUCGGCUUCUUCAAAGUCUAUAGCAUGAAACUGUCACCCGCUAUUGGCCAGGAUGAGUCUCUCCUGCCUUCAGAGACCUGUUUGUUAUUUCCUAGCUAGAGUCUACAGAAGCCCAGUCCACGUGGAAUGAGUUACAAUGGAAUGGAGUGCAGACAUCCAGACACAACUACAGGACCCAGCAUAGGACCAGGGAUACCAGCCCACAGGUGUGUGGUGACCUGCUCCUACCUUUUGAAUUAAUUCUGAAUUGAUUAAUCAAUGUGGCAGAAGAUAUUUCCCAAGGAGUGGGUGCUCCAGAUGGUGGCCAGUGUGUUCGAGCAUCGGUGAGGAUGAAGUGCGGGCCUGGAUCUGGGGUGUGGACAGACUGAGAAGUAGACCGGACAGCUGGGAUCUAGUGGGGUAGAGACGGACGGAACCCCACCCAGCCUUGACAGCCAGUCAUUCGUGUUUUCAUCUGUAAACGGAAUGACUGGAGGGACUCUUGGGGAAGAUUCCAGGAGUUGAUCUGUAAACUGAGCUCAAUAAAAGUUCCUUCCUGGCCUUGCUAA
Long non-coding RNA from Jaculus jaculus (lesser Egyptian jerboa), 840 nucleotides. RefSeq lists it as uncharacterized. The transcript has 2 exons. NCBI's taxonomy places the organism in Eukaryota, Metazoa, Chordata, Mammalia, Rodentia, Dipodidae. The record is from RefSeq and is a predicted model, not a curated record.